AUGGCUUUUUGUGCAGUGCAGACCCAGGGUCAUCACCGGCCCAUGGUUCUGUUCACAGUGGCCUCAAUUUAUAUGUUUGCUGCAUCCUUCCUGCUGCAGUAUCCACAACCUGCCCUGUACCAUGCUCUGCCCUUGGCCGGUGUCAAAGCCGUGUCCUUGGCCAUGUCCUGCCCCUGGUUCUACUCUCAGCCUCUCCCCAGCAGCCUGCUCUCCUCAGAUUGCUAUUUGACAGAGGAAGUCUUAACCCUUCCCUGUUUCCUUGCAGCUUUAAUUUUUCCUGCUCACGUGGCAGGAGAGGUGGCUCGUGGCACUUUGUGUAAAGGGAUCAGUAUUGUUUCCUUGGUUUCAGGGGAAGAGGCUGCCCUAGGUCUGGCAGUGACCCUGCAGAAAGGAAGGCCCAUGAGCUGUGCCACCUCUGCAUCCCGUGAGGGUUGUACAAUUGUUACUGCUUGUUCUCCUUCGUUAGCACUUGGGUCAAAGCAGGGCAUUGUCUCUGCUCAGGUCUUUGGUGCUUGGCUGGGAGUGCCCACCUCCCGAUGUGCCAUCACAGCAGCACUGCUGGACAGGGGGGAGCGGCUGGGGUACGAUCCUAGUGCCAGAGUGGACUGUGGCCUCCAAGCAGGUCUCACGGUCACGCUGCAGGAGAUGUUAGAAAGGCCAACAACGGUGUGGGCAGCCCUGGGGCAGGAGAUGCUGAAGAAACUGUGCAGGGGCUGCUGUGCUGCCAGUGGGGCAGGGAGCCAGGGGAGCAUGAGUGGGCUGUUUGUGAGGAGAGCAGCGUCAGCCUGGCCGUGCACGGGCUUCCUGCCCAGGUGCUCUCUGCUCACCCUCCUGCUCCAGGGUUGUCUGGAAACGUGGCUUAAGGGGAGGGACCUGCGUGGGCACAGCGGGUGCCGUGAGUGCGCCAGUCCCUUCCAGCAGGCAGCUGCACAGCAGAGCUCUGCUCCUCAGCCCGAGACACCACUGCACCCAGUGCUCUCACUGCACUACCUGGAGAGUGAGGGGCUGCGCCCGCUGCUGCCUGGUUGCUGA
This 1032-nucleotide long non-coding RNA is filed under the name Anser cygnoides (Swan goose). RNAcentral's name for it is "lncRNA (ENSACDG00005000979.1)". The record is from RNAcentral. Lineage: Eukaryota; Metazoa; Chordata; Aves; Anseriformes; Anatidae.